RNAcentral lists this ribosomal RNA (468 nucleotides) under uncultured bacterium. Its description in RNAcentral is "partial 16S ribosomal RNA". It matches the Rfam family "Bacterial small subunit ribosomal RNA", at positions 28 to 507 of the family's 1533-position model. The record is from RNAcentral.
GACGAACGCUGGCGGCGUGCUUAACACAUGCCAGUCGAACGGAAAGGCCCUGCUUUUGUGGGGUGCUCGAGUGGCGAACGGGUGAGUAACACGUGAGUAACCUGCCCUUGACUUUGGGAUAACUUCAGGAAACUGGGGCUAAUACCGGAUAGGAGCUCCUGCUGCAUGGUGGGGGUUGGAAAGUUUCGGCGGUUGGGGAUGGACUCGCGGUUUAUCAGCUUGUUGGUGGGGUAGUGGCUUACCAAGGCUUUGACGGGUAGCCGGCCUGAGAGGGUGACCGGCCACAUUGGGACUGAGAUACGGCCCAGACUCCUACGGGAGGCAGCAGUGGAGAAUAUUGCACACUAGGCGGAAGCCUGAUGCAGCGACGCCGCGUGCGGGAUGACGGCCUUCGGGUUGUAAACCGCUUUCGCCUGUGACGAAGCGUGAGUGACGGUAAUGGGUAAAGAAGCACCGGCUAACUACGUG